RNAcentral lists this non-coding RNA (29 nucleotides) under Rattus norvegicus (Norway rat). Lineage: Eukaryota; Metazoa; Chordata; Mammalia; Rodentia; Muridae. The record is from RNAcentral.
UUGUUUCAUGGAGGGACUGAGCUGCAGGU